This 281-nucleotide long non-coding RNA is filed under the name Lathyrus oleraceus (garden pea). Its description in RNAcentral is "Pisum sativum (pea) long non-coding RNA (PSAT_LNC019071)". The record is from RNAcentral. Lineage: Eukaryota; Viridiplantae; Streptophyta; Magnoliopsida; Fabales; Fabaceae.
UGGUUUCUGAUUCCGUUGAAGAAAGGUCGAUGAUGAGUUUUUUUGUUUUUGUUUUGAAAAUGCAAAAUGAUGCAUGGAUAUUUUUUAUUUAUGUUUGUUAAUGCAAAACUCUUAGUUAUUCGUGUGGUUUAUUGCGAGAAACAUUUAACAUUUAAACAUUGCAAUCAAGAAUAAAUAUGUACACAUAGAGUGAAUCGUAAAGAAGCUUCAUUCAUCCAUUGCAGGGAAAUAAGUACAAGUACAUAAAAGUUGCAAAUACAAGUUUUUUAAUUGAAAGAAAA